ACCCCGAGGAAAAGAAAUCAACCGAGAUUCCCCCAGUAGCGGCGAGCGAACGGGGAGGAGCCCAGAACCUGAAUCAGCGUAUGUGUUAGUGGAAGCGUCUGGAAAGUCGCACGGUACAGGGUGAUAGUCCCGUACACAAAAAUGCAUAUGUUGUGAGUUCGAUGAGUAGGGCGGGACACGUGACAUCCUGUCUGAAUAUGGGGGGACCAUCCUCCAAGGCUAAAUACUCCUGACUGACCGAUAGUGAACCAGUACCGUGAGGGAAAGGCGAAAAGAACCCCGGCGAGGGGAGUGAAACAGAACCUGAAACCGUGUACGUACAAGCAGUGGGAGCACCUUCGUGGUGUGACUGCGUACCUUUUGUAUAAUGGGUCAGCGACUUAUAUUUUGUAGCAAGGUUAACCGAAUAGGGGAGCCGUAGGGAAACCGAGUCUUAACUGGGCGAAUAGUUGCAAGGUAUAGACCCGAAACCCGGUGAUCUAGCCAUGGGCAGGUUGAAGGUUGGGUAACACUAACUGGAGGACCGAAC
RNAcentral lists this ribosomal RNA (529 nucleotides) under Yersinia enterocolitica. RNAcentral's name for it is "partial 23S ribosomal RNA". It matches the Rfam family "Bacterial large subunit ribosomal RNA", at positions 208 to 779 of the family's 2925-position model. The record is from RNAcentral. Lineage: Bacteria; Pseudomonadati; Pseudomonadota; Gammaproteobacteria; Enterobacterales; Yersiniaceae.